GACGAACGCUGGCGGCGUGCUUAACACAUGCAAGUCGAACGGAAAGGCCCUGCUUUUGUGGGGUGCUCGAGUGGCGAACGGGUGAGUAACACGUGAGUAACCUGCCCUUGACUUUGGGAUAACUUCAGGAAACUGGGGCUAAUACCGGAUAGGAGCUCCUGCUGCAUGGUGGGGGUUGGAAAGUUUCGGCGGUGGGGGAUGGACUCGCGGCUUAUCAGCUUGUUGGUGGGGUAGUGGCUUACCAAGGCUUUGACGGGUAGCCGGCCUGGGAGGGUGACCGGCCACAUUGGGACUGAGAUACGGCCCAGACGCCUACGGGAGGCAGCAGUGGGGAAUAUUGCACAAUGGGCGGAAGCCUGAUGCAGCAACGCCGCGUGCGGGAUGACGGCCUUCGGGUUGUAAACCGCUUUCGCCUGUGACGAAGCGUGAGUGACGGUAAUGGGUAAGGAAGCACCGGCUAACUACGUG
RNAcentral lists this ribosomal RNA (468 nucleotides) under uncultured bacterium. RNAcentral's name for it is "partial 16S ribosomal RNA". It matches the Rfam family "Bacterial small subunit ribosomal RNA", at positions 28 to 507 of the family's 1533-position model. The record is from RNAcentral.